This is a long non-coding RNA of Monodelphis domestica (gray short-tailed opossum), 907 nucleotides long. RefSeq lists it as uncharacterized. The record is from RefSeq and is a predicted model, not a curated record. Lineage: Eukaryota; Metazoa; Chordata; Mammalia; Didelphimorphia; Didelphidae.
GAGCUCAAGGUCUUUUCUUGAAAUAAUCAUCAUGAGUGAGAACUCCCCUCACUGUGCCCAGCAGUCUCUGAUCUUAUCUUUCCCAUGUUAGAGCUGGUAAAUGGGCUGAAUCCAGCACUGGAGAAGUAGCAUUGCCGGGAGACUAUGGUAGUUGAAGAUGACUUGGGAAUCCAUAAUGGGAAGGAAGGAGGGAGUGCAUUCCAGCACAGAUGACACCAGCACAAAGAUAGAGAAAUGGGAGAUGGGAUCUCUGUAUGAAGAACAGAGAUGAGACAGAUUGAUGGAAUAAUUUGGUAUAACAAGACUGGAAGGCUUUGGGAAGAAAAAGCUCCUUACAAAGGGAGCCUAUGGCAUUUUAAGAAGCAGUUACUGGAAUGAAGAGCUGACAUUUCAUCAGGAAACUAAAUGAAUUAAAAAUACCACUAUUAUCCAGCUUUGGAAUUCAGCAAGUAAGCAGACCUAUGAAAAACUAGUUAGAAUGCAAGGUAAAGAUCCCUGUACCACACUACAAAGAAGACUAACAGGUAGGCAGAAAUAAAAAUUCUGGGCUGGAAGCUGGCCAAUUUACUGGAGGCUGCCUGCUCUAUUCCUGUAACAAGUAUCGUGGGAUUCUAAUGAUCAACAGAAGCUUGGAUUCAGUUGCUUCUAAAUAAUCUUUUAUUUUCCUUUCCUGGUUGCCCAAGAAUGUAUUCAGAAAUCUUCUGGGGGAAAAAAUUGGUAAAGGGAAAAUGUCAAACCUGGCACAUAGAAUGUAAAAUCAGUGUAAAAAAAAAAGGUCUCUAAAAAUGGCUUUUGCUGAAGUAUGAUGAAAGGAAAUAGAAAGAACCAGACAUCAUCCUCUCUCUGUUCGCCUAUUUGCAUGUUCUUGUGACAAAAGAUGCUACUAAAGCCUUUUUUUCUGUUUUGA